UCCCGGUUGGCCCGGGCGGUCUCGCGUGAAAAGUACAACACACGACAAGGGUUGCGCUCGUUGCGGGACUUAACCCAACAUCUCACGACACGAGCUGACGACGGCCAUGCAACAUCUGUCACCGAUCCAGCCGAACUGACUGCCUAGUUUCUUAGGCGUACGAUCGGGAUGUCAAACCUUGGUAAGGUUCUGCGCGUAGCAUCGAAUUAAACCACAUGAUCCACUGCUUGUGCGGAGCCCCGUCAAUUCCUUUGAGUUUUAGCCUUGCGGCCGUACUCCCCAGGCGGCAUAUUUAUCGCGUUAGCUUCUCCGCACAGAGGGUCGAUACUCCAUACGAAUAAUAUGCAUCGUUUACGGCGUGGACUA
Molecule: unclassified non-coding RNA, 366 nt
Filed under: uncultured bacterium
Lineage: Bacteria
Description: contains 16S-23S intergenic spacer region
Source: RNAcentral